Molecule: ribosomal RNA, 2902 nt
Filed under: Klebsiella quasipneumoniae
Lineage: Bacteria; Pseudomonadati; Pseudomonadota; Gammaproteobacteria; Enterobacterales; Enterobacteriaceae
Description: 23S ribosomal RNA
Rfam family: Bacterial large subunit ribosomal RNA
Source: RNAcentral
GGUUAAGCGACUAAGCGUACACGGUGGAUGCCCUGGCAGUCAGAGGCGAUGAAGGACGUGCUAAUCUGCGAAAAGCGUCGGUAAGGUGAUAUGAACCGUUAUAGCCGGCGAUGUCCGAAUGGGGAAACCCAGUGCAAUUCGUUGCACUAUCGUUAACUGAAUACAUAGGUUAACGAGGCGAACCGGGGGAACUGAAACAUCUAAGUACCCCGAGGAAAAGAAAUCAACCGAGAUUCCCCCAGUAGCGGCGAGCGAACGGGGAGCAGCCCAGAGUCUGAAUCAGCUUGUGUGUUAGUGGAACGGUCUGGAAAGUCCGACGGUACAGGGUGAUAGUCCCGUACACCAAAAUGCACAGGUUGUGAACUCGAAGAGUAGGGCGGGACACGUGGUAUCCUGUCUGAAUAUGGGGGGACCAUCCUCCAAGGCUAAAUACUCCUGACUGACCGAUAGUGAACCAGUACCGUGAGGGAAAGGCGAAAAGAACCCCGGCGAGGGGAGUGAAAAAGAACCUGAAACCGUGUACGUACAAGCAGUGGGAGCACCUUCGGGUGUGACUGCGUACCUUUUGUAUAAUGGGUCAGCGACUUAUAUUCUGUAGCAAGGUUAACCGUAUAGGGGAGCCGCAGGGAAACCGAGUCUUAACUGGGCGUUAAGUUGCAGGGUAUAGACCCGAAACCCGGUGAUCUAGCCAUGGGCAGGUUGAAGGUUGGGUAACACUAACUGGAGGACCGAACCGACUAAUGUUGAAAAAUUAGCGGAUGACUUGUGGCUGGGGGUGAAAGGCCAAUCAAACCGGGAGAUAGCUGGUUCUCCCCGAAAGCUAUUUAGGUAGCGCCUCGUGAAUUCAUCUUCGGGGGUAGAGCACUGUUUCGGCUAGGGGGUCAUCCCGACUUACCAACCCGAUGCAAACUACGAAUACCGAAGAAUGUUAUCACGGGAGACACACGGCGGGUGCUAACGUCCGUCGUGAAGAGGGAAACAACCCAGACCGCCAGCUAAGGUCCCAAAGUCAUGGUUAAGUGGGAAACGAUGUGGGAAGGCACAGACAGCCAGGAUGUUGGCUUAGAAGCAGCCAUCAUUUAAAGAAAGCGUAAUAGCUCACUGGUCGAGUCGGCCUGCGCGGAAGAUGUAACGGGGCUAAACCAUGCACCGAAGCUGCGGCAGCGACACGAUGUGUUGUUGGGUAGGGGAGCGUUCUGUAAGCCUGCGAAGGUGGCCUGUGAGGGUUGCUGGAGGUAUCAGAAGUGCGAAUGCUGACAUAAGUAACGAUAAAGCGGGUGAAAAGCCCGCUCGCCGGAAGACCAAGGGUUCCUGUCCAACGUUAAUCGGGGCAGGGUGAGUCGACCCCUAAGGCGAGGCCGAAAGGCGUAGUCGAUGGGAAACAGGUUAAUAUUCCUGUACUUGGUGUUACUGCGAAGGGGGGACGGAGAAGGCUAUGUUAGCCGGGCGACGGUUGUCCCGGUUUAAGCAUGUAGGCUGGUUAUCCAGGCAAAUCCGGAUAAUCAAGGCUGAGGUGUGAUGACGAAGCACUACGGUGCUGAAGUAACAAAUGCCCUGCUUCCAGGAAAAGCCUCUAAGCAUCAGGUAACAUCAAAUCGUACCCCAAACCGACACAGGUGGUCAGGUAGAGAAUACCAAGGCGCUUGAGAGAACUCGGGUGAAGGAACUAGGCAAAAUGGUGCCGUAACUUCGGGAGAAGGCACGCUGGUGUGUAGGUGAAGCCCCUGCGGGUGGAGCUGAGACCAGUCGAAGAUACCAGCUGGCUGCAACUGUUUAUUAAAAACACAGCACUGUGCAAACACGAAAGUGGACGUAUACGGUGUGACGCCUGCCCGGUGCCGGAAGGUUAAUUGAUGGGGUUAUCCGUAAGGAGAAGCUCUUGAUCGAAGCCCCGGUAAACGGCGGCCGUAACUAUAACGGUCCUAAGGUAGCGAAAUUCCUUGUCGGGUAAGUUCCGACCUGCACGAAUGGCGUAAUGAUGGCCAGGCUGUCUCCACCCGAGACUCAGUGAAAUUGAACUCGCUGUGAAGAUGCAGUGUACCCGCGGCAAGACGGAAAGACCCCGUGAACCUUUACUAUAGCUUGACACUGAACAUUGAGCCUUGAUGUGUAGGAUAGGUGGGAGGCUUUGAAGCGUGGACGCCAGUCUGCGUGGAGCCAACCUUGAAAUACCACCCUUUAAUGUUUGAUGUUCUAACGUUGGCCCCUGACCGGGGUUGCGGACAGUGUCUGGUGGGUAGUUUGACUGGGGCGGUCUCCUCCCAAAGCGUAACGGAGGAGCACGAAGGUUAGCUAAUCCUGGUCGGACAUCAGGAGGUUAGUGCAAUGGCAUAAGCUAGCUUGACUGCGAGCGUGACGGCGCGAGCAGGUGCGAAAGCAGGUCAUAGUGAUCCGGUGGUUCUGAAUGGAAGGGCCAUCGCUCAACGGAUAAAAGGUACUCCGGGGAUAACAGGCUGAUACCGCCCAAGAGUUCAUAUCGACGGCGGUGUUUGGCACCUCGAUGUCGGCUCAUCACAUCCUGGGGCUGAAGUAGGUCCCAAGGGUAUGGCUGUUCGCCAUUUAAAGUGGUACGCGAGCUGGGUUUAGAACGUCGUGAGACAGUUCGGUCCCUAUCUGCCGUGGGCGCUGGAGAAUUGAGGGGGGCUGCUCCUAGUACGAGAGGACCGGAGUGGACGCAUCACUGGUGUUCGGGUUGUCAUGCCAAUGGCACUGCCCGGUAGCUAAAUGCGGAAGAGAUAAGUGCUGAAAGCAUCUAAGCACGAAACUUGCCCCGAGAUGAGUUCUCCCUGAGACUUUAAGUCUCCUGAAGGAACGUUGAAGACGACGACGUUGAUAGGCCGGGUGUGUAAGCGCAGCGAUGCGUUGAGCUAACCGGUACUAAUGAACCGUGAGGCUUAACCUU